Molecule: long non-coding RNA, 340 nt
Filed under: Physcomitrium patens
Lineage: Eukaryota; Viridiplantae; Streptophyta; Bryopsida; Funariales; Funariaceae
Description: long non-coding RNA (PPAT_LNC014183)
Source: RNAcentral
GCUACUUAGGGAAAAAUAGGAGGGCAUUCGGAGAUAGGAAUUUGGAAUCAGAGAGUUAGCUUUAAGCUCCUUCCAAAGGUAUAAGACUUAGUUUCAUAGGAUUUGGGAGGACUUUGCAAUCAUUGUUCAAAGUCACUGAUUGUAUUGGUGAUUUGGAUUUUUUGCAAUAAAGUUAGGGUUAGUACUCUUAAUUGUUUUGUAAAAUUGAAAAAAUAUCUACGGUUGAAAUUUUAGAGAUGUCUAGAUGGUUGAGUAUGCCAAGUGCAUGCAAAAAUUUGUAUUAAUCUAAUGGUACAAAUAGAGGAUAUUUGAUCAAUAGUAUAAAGAGGUAUCAGAAGUU